GUCCCGCCCCCUCCAGGGUUGAGUCCCAGGCAGCGCCUGGAGCAGAAACAAAGAGUGGCAGAGAGAGAUCUGCCUCCCGGCUAGCUUUUUACCCCCUCAGCCUGGAAAGCAUCCCAGAGAGCCCUUUCCCCGGUCCCCACCCCCAAAAUACAGAGGAGAGAAGAACCGAAGGCCCAGAAGUCUGCAUGGCUGUCGUGCCCCACGCCACUUGUUCUUUAGAGAGAGGAUUCGAUGGGCAGCUCAGGCAGGAAUGUCACAGGCCCCAGCUGCAGCGCAAGGAGCUCCUGUCCCUCCCGAUGAGCCCUCCUGCUUCUCCGUGGGUCGCUAGGACACCCGUUGGUGCCCCGGAUCUUGCUUCUGAGCUUCUUCUUUAGACUAAAACUUAUCUUAUGGUUUUGGAGAGCUUUGCUUUCCGUUCUCAGCGACAGCAAUACAUCGAAUUAAGGAAGUUGGAGUUUCAUUAUAUCCAGGCGUUAAGAGAAAGGGCACAAUUACCAGCUCUUUGCAAAAUUCUGCUUUUACUAUGGGCUCCCCAAUUUUUUAUUGCAGCAUCUUAGCCAGUUUUCCAUGUAUAUUUCGUGUGGUGAUAUUAAACACACUCGCAAACA
Molecule: long non-coding RNA, 608 nt
Organism: Mus musculus (house mouse)
Lineage: Eukaryota; Metazoa; Chordata; Mammalia; Rodentia; Muridae
Product: predicted gene, 52808
Exons: 2
Source: RefSeq, a predicted model, not a curated record